CACGUACUGUGCGAACGUUAUUCGGAAUCACUGGGCUUAAAGGGUGCGUAGGCGGCAAUUCAAGUCAGGUGUGAAAUGCCUGAGCUCAACUGAGGCAUUGCGCUUGAAACUGAACUGCUUGAGUAUCCCAGGGGUGUGCGGAACUGCCAGUGGAGCGGUGCAAUGUGUUGAUAUUAGCAGGAACACCGGAGGCGAAAGCGGCACACUGGGGGAUAACUGACGCUGAGGCACGAAAGCCAGGGGAGCGAACGGG
RNAcentral lists this ribosomal RNA (253 nucleotides) under uncultured bacterium. RNAcentral describes it as "partial 16S ribosomal RNA". It matches the Rfam family "Bacterial small subunit ribosomal RNA", at positions 524 to 776 of the family's 1533-position model. The record is from RNAcentral.